GGACUGGUGGCUCAAGCUGGAAGAGCACCAGUGUACUACACUGGAGGCCACAGGUUCAAUCCCUGUCUAGUCCA
Paxillus rubicundulus Ve08.2h10 is the source of this 74-nucleotide non-coding RNA. Lineage: Eukaryota; Fungi; Basidiomycota; Agaricomycetes; Boletales; Paxillaceae. The record is from Rfam.